AUUGAACGCUGGCGGCAGGCCUAACACAUGCAAGUCGAGCGGAUGAAGGGAGCUUGCUCCUGGAUUCAGCGGCGGACGGGUGAGUAAUGCCUAGGAAUCUGCCUGGUAGUGGGGGAUAACGUCCGGAAACGGGCGCUAAUACCGCAUACGUCCUGAGGGAGAAAGUGGGGGAUCUUCGGACCUCACGCUAUCAGAUGAGCCUAGGUCGGAUUAGCUAGUUGGUGGGGUAAAGGCCUACCAAGGCGACGAUCCGUAACUGGUCUGAGAGGAUGAUCAGUCACAGUGGAACUGAGACACGGUCCCGGCUCCUACGGGAGGCAGGAGCUGGGAAUAUUGGACGAAGGGCGGAAGGCUGAACCAGGCAUGGCGGGUGUGUGAAGAAAGGCCUCGGGUUGGAAAACAGUUUUAGGUUGGAAGAAGGGCAGUAAGUUUAUACCUUGCUGUUUUGACGUUACCAACAGAAUAAGCACCGGCUAACUUCGU
RNAcentral lists this ribosomal RNA (483 nucleotides) under uncultured bacterium. RNAcentral describes it as "partial 16S ribosomal RNA". It matches the Rfam family "Bacterial small subunit ribosomal RNA", at positions 30 to 506 of the family's 1533-position model. The record is from RNAcentral.